Small nuclear RNA from Acomys russatus (golden spiny mouse), 105 nucleotides. Lineage: Eukaryota; Metazoa; Chordata; Mammalia; Rodentia; Muridae. The record is from RefSeq and is a predicted model, not a curated record.
GUGCUUGCUCAGGCAGCACAUCUGAUGGUAUUGGAGCAAUACAGAAUAUUAGCAUGACCCCUACACGAGGAGGACAUGCAAGUUCAUGAAAUGACACAAAUUAUG